This 344-nucleotide ribosomal RNA is filed under the name uncultured bacterium. RNAcentral describes it as "partial 16S ribosomal RNA". It matches the Rfam family "Bacterial small subunit ribosomal RNA", at positions 338 to 699 of the family's 1533-position model. The record is from RNAcentral.
CCUACGGGUGGCAGCAGUGGGGAAUAUUGGACAAUGGGGGAAACCCUGAUCCAGCGACGCCGCGUGAGGGAAGAAGUAUUUCGGUACGUAAAGCUCUAUCAGCAGGAAAGAAAAUGCCGGUACCUGACUAAGAAGCCCCGGCUAACUACGUGCCAGCAGCCGCGGUAAUACGUAGGGGGCCAGCGUUAUCCGGAUUAACUGGGUGUAAAGGGGGCGUAGACGGCUUCGCAAGUCUGGAGGGAAAUGCCGGUGCCCAACCCCGGAACUGCUGUGGAAACUGUGAAGCUGGAGUGCAGGAGCGGUAAGCGGAAUGUCUGGUGUAGCGGUGAAAUGCGUAGAGAUCA